This 305-nucleotide long non-coding RNA is filed under the name Citrus x clementina. RNAcentral describes it as "Citrus clementina (C. clementina) long non-coding RNA (CCLE_LNC003808)". Lineage: Eukaryota; Viridiplantae; Streptophyta; Magnoliopsida; Sapindales; Rutaceae. The record is from RNAcentral.
GCACAGACAACUCCAUGUCUUGGGCUCAGACAUACUCUCUCUCUCUUCCCUUUCCUUCUCUUUCUCUCUCUACAUUUCUAUCAAUCUCUGUCUUCUUUUUACGCGAUCUCUCUCUUUGAACUCAACAACAACAAAAUUCUUCUUGCAAAGGAAUCCCUCAAUACGCUGCCGUUUUGACUAGGGUUCUUUCAUUUCUCCACGAUUACAUUCAACCAGUUCUCAUCUCAACAUUACGCAACUAAUCUCUCAGACGUACGUUUCUUCUUCACUUCAGAUUCAAACUGCCGUUAAAACAUGUGCCGGUG